ACUUCUUCUUCAGAGUCAUAAGAACUUGAUAGUUGCUUUUCUUCUGAUAUUCUGCCGUCCAGAGUUGCUUCUCUAACUACUUUUCUCAGAGCAUGUGAGGUUCUUUCAAUUUGUAAAUCGAAUGGAAUUAAUGUUGAUCGUGAAGUGCACAUACACAAAAAAAUCCUCUGUAGCACUAUGAUAAACAUGAAAAUGAAACAAAAAUUAAAAAUACUAAAA
RNAcentral lists this long non-coding RNA (219 nucleotides) under Lathyrus oleraceus (garden pea). Its description in RNAcentral is "Pisum sativum (pea) long non-coding RNA (PSAT_LNC023343)". The record is from RNAcentral. Lineage: Eukaryota; Viridiplantae; Streptophyta; Magnoliopsida; Fabales; Fabaceae.